Molecule: ribosomal RNA, 253 nt
Filed under: uncultured bacterium
Lineage: Bacteria
Description: partial 16S ribosomal RNA
Rfam family: Bacterial small subunit ribosomal RNA
Source: RNAcentral
UACGUAGGGGGCGAGCGUUGUCCGGAUUUAUUGGGCGUAAAGCGUCCGCAGGUGGCUGUGUAAGUCUGCUGUCAAAGAGCAAAGCUCAACUUUGUAAAGGCAGUGGAAACUACACGGCUAGAGUGCGUUCGGGGCAGAGGGAAUUCCUGGUGUAGCGGUGAAAUGCGUAGAGAUCAGGAAGAACACCGGUGGCGAAGGCGCUCUGCUAGGCCGCAACUGACACUGAGGGACGAAAGCUAGGGGAGCGAAUGGG